RNAcentral lists this ribosomal RNA (1367 nucleotides) under Escherichia coli. RNAcentral describes it as "partial 23S ribosomal RNA". It matches the Rfam family "Bacterial large subunit ribosomal RNA", at positions 383 to 1756 of the family's 2925-position model. The record is from RNAcentral. Lineage: Bacteria; Pseudomonadati; Pseudomonadota; Gammaproteobacteria; Enterobacterales; Enterobacteriaceae.
AAAUGCACAUGCUGUGAGCUCGAUGAGUAGGGCGGGACACGUGGUAUCCUGUCUGAAUAUGGGGGGACCAUCCUCCAAGGCUAAAUACUCCUGACUGACCGAUAGUGAACCAGUACCGUGAGGGAAAGGCGAAAAGAACCCCGGCGAGGGGAGUGAAAAAGAACCUGAAACCGUGUACGUACAAGCAGUGGGAGCCUCUUUAUGGGGUGACUGCGUACCUUUUGUAUAAUGGGUCAGCGACUUAUAUUCUGUAGCAAGGUUAACCGAAUAGGGGAGCCGAAGGGAAACCGAGUCUUAACUGGGCGUUAAGUUGCAGGGUAUAGACCCGAAACCCGGUGAUCUAGCCAUGGGCAGGUUGAAGGUUGGGUAACACUAACUGGAGGACCGAACCGACUAAUGUUGAAAAAUUAGCGGAUGACUUGUGGCUGGGGGUGAAAGGCCAAUCAAACCGGGAGAUAGCUGGUUCUCCCCGAAAGCUAUUUAGGUAGCGCCUCGUGAAUUCAUCUCCGGGGGUAGAGCACUGUUUCGGCAAGGGGGUCAUCCCGACUUACCAACCCGAUGCAAACUGCGAAUACCGGAGAAUGUUAUCACGGGAGACACACGGCGGGUGCUAACGUCCGUCGUGAAGAGGGAAACAACCCAGACCGCCAGCUAAGGUCCCAAAGUCAUGGUUAAGUGGGAAACGAUGUGGGAAGGCCCAGACAGCCAGGAUGUUGGCUUAGAAGCAGCCAUCAUUUAAAGAAAGCGUAAUAGCUCACUGGUCGAGUCGGCCUGCGCGGAAGAUGUAACGGGGCUAAACCAUGCACCGAAGCUGCGGCAGCGACGCUUAUGCGUUGUUGGGUAGGGGAGCGUUCUGUAAGCCUGCGAAGGUGUACUGUGAGGUAUGCUGGAGGUAUCAGAAGUGCGAAUGCUGACAUAAGUAACGAUAAAGCGGGUGAAAAGCCCGCUCGCCGGAAGACCAAGGGUUCCUGUCCAACGUUAAUCGGGGCAGGGUGAGUCGACCCCUAAGGCGAGGCCGAAAGGCGUAGUCGAUGGGAAACAGGUUAAUAUUCCUGUACUUGGUGUUACUGCGAAGGGGGGACGGAGAAGGCUAUGUUGGCCGGGCGACGGUUGUCCCGGUUUAAGCGUGUAGGCUGGUUUUCCAGGCAAAUCCGGAAAAUCAAGGCUGAGGCGUGAUGACGAGGCACUACGGUGCUGAAGCAACAAAUGCCCUGCUUCCAGGAAAAGCCUCUAAGCAUCAGGUAACAUCAAAUCGUACCCCAAACCGACACAGGUGGUCAGGUAGAGAAUACCAAGGCGCUUGAGAGAACUCGGGUGAAGGAACUAGGCAAAAUGGUGCCGUAACUUCGGGAGAAGGCACGCUGAUA